This 482-nucleotide ribosomal RNA is filed under the name uncultured bacterium. RNAcentral's name for it is "bacterial SSU rRNA". It matches the Rfam family "Bacterial small subunit ribosomal RNA", at positions 28 to 517 of the family's 1533-position model. The record is from RNAcentral.
GAUGAACGCUAGCGACAGGCUUAACACAUGCAAGUCGAGGGGCAUCGGGGUUGUAGCUUGCUAUAACUGCCGGCGACCGGCGCACGGGUGAGUAACACGUAUGCAACCUGCCCGUUGCAGGGGGAUAAGCGGAAGAAAUUCCGUCUAAUACCGCGUAAUAUGGGCGAUAGGCAUCUAUCAUUCAUUAAAGAUUUAUCGGCAACGGAUGGGCAUGCGGUGCAUUAGCUAGCUGGCGGGGUAACGGCCCACCAAGGCGACGAUGCAUAGCCGGACUGAGAGGUUGAACGGCCACAUUGGGACUGAGACACGGCCCAGACUCCUACGGGAGGCAGCAGUGGGGGAUAUUGCACAAUGGAGGAAACUCUGAUGCAGCAACGCCGCGUGAGGGAAGAAGGUCUUCGGAUUGUAAACCUUUGUCUUUGGUGACGAACAAAUGACGGUAGCCAAGGAGGAAGCUCCGGCUAACUACGUGCCAGCAGCCG